UAAUAAGUGUUUUAUGGCACUUUUUAAAUCCAUAUCCACCUUGUGUGCAAUGUCAGUCGAGUCUUUCGUCAAUGAAAAGGAUCGACCAAACAUCAACCUUAUUCUAAUUGAACUCUUUGUCUGAAAAAUAUUAUGAAUAAACUAAUUCAAAAUA
This 154-nucleotide unclassified non-coding RNA is filed under the name soil metagenome. RNAcentral's name for it is "partial internal transcribed spacer 1". The record is from RNAcentral.